RNAcentral lists this ribosomal RNA (301 nucleotides) under uncultured bacterium. RNAcentral's name for it is "partial 16S ribosomal RNA". It matches the Rfam family "Bacterial small subunit ribosomal RNA", at positions 509 to 807 of the family's 1533-position model. The record is from RNAcentral.
CAGUAGCCGCGGUAAUACGGAGGGGGCUAGCGUUGUUCGGAAUCACUGGGCGUAAAGCGCACGUAGGCGGCUUGGUAAGUUAGAGGUGAAAGCCUGGAGCUCAACUCCAGAAUUGCCUUUAAGACUGCCGAGCUAGCAGGUGAGAGAGGUAAGUGGAAUUCCGAGUGUAGAGGUGAAAUUCGUAGAUAUUCGGAAGAACACCAGUGGCGAAGGCGGCUUACUGGCUCAUACUGGACGCUGAGGUGCGAAAGCGUGGGGAGCAAACAGGAUUAGAUACCCCCGUAGUCCCUGUCUCUUAUAC